This 672-nucleotide ribosomal RNA is filed under the name uncultured bacterium. RNAcentral's name for it is "bacterial SSU rRNA". It matches the Rfam family "Bacterial small subunit ribosomal RNA", at positions 59 to 777 of the family's 1533-position model. The record is from RNAcentral.
AAGUCGCACGGACCUUCGGGUCAGUGGCGCACGGGUGAGGAACGCGUGGGAACCUGCCCUGGGGUGGGGAACAACCGCUGGAAACGGCGGCUAAUACCGCAUACGCCCUGAGGGGGAAAGACCUUGGUUGCCCUGGGAGGGGCCCGCGUCCGAUUAGCUUGUUGGUGGGGUAACGGCCUACCAAGGCAUCGAUCGGUAGCUGGUCUGAGAGGAUGAUCAGCCACACUGGGACUGAGACACGGCCCAGACUCCUACGGGAGGCAGCAGUGGGGAAUAUUGGACAAUGGGCGAAAGCCUGAUCCAGCAAUGCCGCGUGAGUGAAGAAGGCCUUAGGGUUGUAAAGCUCUUUCGCCCGAGACGAUGAUGACGGUAUCGGGAGAAGAAGCCCCGGCUAAUUUCGUGCCAGCAGCCGCGGUAAUACGAAAGGGGCUAGCGUUGUUCGGAAUUACUGGGCGUAAAGCGCACGCAGGCGGCUGGUCAAGUGAGGCGUGAAAGCCCUGGGCUCAACCUGGGAACGGCGCCUCAGACUGUCUGGCUAGAGGCCGAGAGAGGGUGGUGGAAUACCCAGUGUAGAGGUGAAAUUCGUAGAUAUUGGGUGGAACACCGGUGGCGAAGGCGGCCACCUGGCUCGGACCUGACGCUCAUGUGCGAAAGCGUGGGGAGCAAACAGGA